Molecule: non-coding RNA, 141 nt
Organism: Gossypium hirsutum (cotton)
Lineage: Eukaryota; Viridiplantae; Streptophyta; Magnoliopsida; Malvales; Malvaceae
Source: Rfam
UGUUAAAAACUGCAUCCAUUUUUACUAUUAAAAACAAUAUAGUUGAUGAAAUAACUAUACAGUUACAUAUGGUAUGCCACGUGUACCUCAUGCUAACAUACAGUGAUUAGUUUUUAACAGUAAAAGAUGAGAUUUUCAAUA